GAAUAUUGGACAAUGGGCGCAAGCCUGAUCCAGCCAUGCCGCGUGUGGGAAGAAGGCCUUCGGGUUGUAAACCACUUUUGUCAGGGAAGAAACGGUCUGCUCUAAUAAAUCGGACUAAUGACGGUACCUGAAGAAUAAGCACCGGCGAACUACGUGCCAGCAGCCGCGGUAAUACGUAGGGUGCAAGCGUUAAUCGGAAUUACUGGGCGUAAAGCGUGCGCAGGCGGCUAUGCAAGACAGAUGUGACAUCCCCGGGCUCAACCUGGGAACUGCAUUUGUGACUGCAUGGCUAGAGUACGGCAGAGGGGGAUGGAAUUCCGCGUGUAGCAGUGAAAUGCGUAGAUAUGCGGAGGAACACCGAUGGCGAAGGCAAUCCCCUGGGCCUGUACUGACGCUCAUGCACGAAAGCGUGGGGAGCAAACAGG
Molecule: ribosomal RNA, 425 nt
Filed under: uncultured bacterium
Lineage: Bacteria
Description: bacterial SSU rRNA
Rfam family: Bacterial small subunit ribosomal RNA
Source: RNAcentral